UGGGAAGGUCCUGGUAGGUCUAUAGUGGAACAGCUCGGGCUUGGCAGGUCCUGCUGGCAGUAUUCAACCAUAAAGUGUGUGUCCUCCCCCCCCCCCAGGUACACCAUCUUCAAGGACCACGUCCACACUCGGGGACUAUGAGAUCCACGAUGGGAUGAACCUGGAUAGCCUCUACUAUCAAUAAUUGGGCCCCCCAUGGAACCCCCAAAUACCCCAUAGGACCCUAUUGCCCCCCUAUGGGACUCUCUUGCCCCCCCAUAGGGACCCUCCUACCCCCCGAUGGAAAACCCACCUACCCCCCUAUGAGGACCCCUUAUUGCCCCCCUAUUGGACCCCCCUAUCCCCCAUAGGACCCUCCUACCCCCCCAUAGGACCCUAUUGCCCCCCUAUGGGACCCUCCUACCCCCCAUAGGACCCUCUUGCCCCCCCAUAUGACCCUGUUGGACCCCCACAUAGACUUCU
This 462-nucleotide long non-coding RNA is filed under the name Coturnix japonica (Japanese quail). Its description in RNAcentral is "lncRNA (ENSCJPG00005003048.1)". Lineage: Eukaryota; Metazoa; Chordata; Aves; Galliformes; Phasianidae. The record is from RNAcentral.